This 318-nucleotide ribosomal RNA is filed under the name uncultured bacterium. RNAcentral's name for it is "bacterial SSU rRNA". It matches the Rfam family "Bacterial small subunit ribosomal RNA", at positions 28 to 334 of the family's 1533-position model. The record is from RNAcentral.
GAUGAACGCUGGCGGCGUGCCUAAUACAUGCAAGUCGAGCGAAUGGAUUGAGAGCUUGCUCUCAAGAAGUUAGCGGCGGACGGGUGAGUAACACGUGGGUAACCUGCCCAUAAGACUGGGAUAACUCCGGGAAACCGGGGCUAAUACCGGAUAACAUUUUGAACUGCAUGGUUCGAAAUUGAAAGGCGGCUUCGGCUGUCACUUAUGGAUGGACCCGCGUCGCAUUAGCUAGUUGGUGAGGUAACGGCCCACCAAGGCAAUGAUGGGUAGCCGGCCUGAGAGGGUGAACGGCCACAAGGGGACUGAGACACGGCCCUU